GAUGAACGCUGGCGGCGUGCCUAACACAUGCAAGUCGAACGGAGAUUACGGACGGAAGUUUUCGGAUGGAAGACUGUAAUUCUUAGUGGCGGACGGGUGAGUAACGCGUGGGCAACCUGCCCUAUACAGGGGGAUAGCAGCUGGAAACGGCUGGUAAGACCGCAUAAGUCGGUUAAAUCGCAUGAUUUGAUCGGGAAAUGAGCAAUCAGGUAUAGGAUGGGCCCGCGUCCGAUUAGCCAGUUGGCAGGGUAAAAGCCUACCAAAGCGACGAUCGGUAGCCGGACUGAGAGGUCGGACGGCCACAUUGGGACUGAGACACGGCCCAAACUCCUACGGAAGGCAGCAGUGGGGGAUAUUGCACAAUGGAGGAAACUCUGAUGCAGCGACGCCGCGUGAGUGAAGAAGUAUUUCGGUAUGUAAAGCUCUAUCAGCAGGGAAGAUGAUGACGGUACCUGACUAAGAAGCCCCGGCUAACUACGUG
This 481-nucleotide ribosomal RNA is filed under the name uncultured bacterium. Its description in RNAcentral is "partial 16S ribosomal RNA". It matches the Rfam family "Bacterial small subunit ribosomal RNA", at positions 28 to 507 of the family's 1533-position model. The record is from RNAcentral.